GGUGGUGUAGCCAAGUGGUAAGGCAGGAGCCUGCAAAGCUCUCAUCCGGGAGUUCGAAUCCCCCCACCACCU
Molecule: transfer RNA, 72 nt
Filed under: Oscillatoriales cyanobacterium SM2_2_1
Lineage: Bacteria; Bacillati; Cyanobacteriota; Cyanophyceae; Oscillatoriales
Description: tRNA-Cys
Rfam family: tRNA
About the family: Transfer RNA (tRNA) molecules are approximately 80 nucleotides in length. Their secondary structure includes four short double-helical elements and three loops (D, anti-codon, and T loops).
Source: RNAcentral